UUGCUUCUUUGAGACUUAGCGGCGGACGGGUGAGUAACACGUAGGCAACCUGCCCUUUAGCCUGGGAUAACUACCGGAAACGGUAGCUAAUACCGGAUACUUUCUUUUUCUGCAUGGGAGAAGAACGAAAGACGGAGCAAUCUGUCACUGAAGGAUGGGCCUGCGGCGCAUUAGCUAGUUGGUGGGGUAACGGCUCACCAAGGCGACGAUGCGUAGCCGACCUGAGAGGGUGAUCGGCCACACUGGGACUGAGACACGGCCCAGACUCCUACGGGAGGCAGCAGUAGGGAAUCUUCCGCAAUGGGCGAAAGCCUGACGGAGCAACGCCGCGUGAGUGAUGAAGGUUUUCGGAUCGUAAAGCUCUGUUGCCAGGGAAGAACGUCUUGGAGAGUAACUGCUCCGAGAGUGACGGUACCUGAGAAGAAAGCCCCGGCUAACUACGUGCCAGCAGCCGCGGUAAUACGUAGGGGGCAAGCGUUGUCCGGAAUUAUUGGGCGUAAAGCGCGCGCAGGCGGCCGUUUAAGUCCGGUGUUUAAUCCCGAAGCUCAACUUCGGGUCGCACUGGAAACUGGAGGGCUUGAGUGCAGAAGAGGAGAGUGGAAUUCCACGUGUAGCGGUGAAAUGCGUAGAGAUGUGGAGGAACACCAGUGGCGAAGGCGACUCUCUGGGCUGUAACUGACGCUGAGGCGC
This 690-nucleotide ribosomal RNA is filed under the name Paenibacillus hunanensis. Its description in RNAcentral is "bacterial SSU rRNA". It matches the Rfam family "Bacterial small subunit ribosomal RNA", at positions 80 to 754 of the family's 1533-position model. Lineage: Bacteria; Bacillati; Bacillota; Bacilli; Caryophanales; Paenibacillaceae. The record is from RNAcentral.